ACUUAGGAUGAGUAAUCGGCAAGGAUAGCAAAAUGGACAUUGAAUGGACGCAAUAGUAGCUAGGAUGGUUACUACUAAGGAAAGGCGAUGGACACCGCUAGGAUGGCGAGAAAGGAAUAAGCUGAAGGAAUCAGCAUACUAUCAAGGAUUUGAUGCAUGGAGCACCAUUAGUAGCGGGAUUGCUGCGAGUAAAGUUAUAACCCCGUUAGACGAGAGUCUAGCGGGGUUUUUCUUGUUUUG
This 240-nucleotide unclassified non-coding RNA is filed under the name Aliivibrio salmonicida LFI1238. Its description in RNAcentral is "CsrA-regulating small RNA CsrB3". The record is from RNAcentral. Lineage: Bacteria; Pseudomonadati; Pseudomonadota; Gammaproteobacteria; Vibrionales; Vibrionaceae.